UACGUAGGGUGCGAGCGUUAAUCGGAAUUACUGGGCGUAAAGCGUGCGCAGGCGGUUCGUUAAGUCAGAUGUGAAAGCCCCGGGCUUAACCUGGGAAUGGCAUUUGAGACUGGCGAGCUGGAGUCUGGCAGAGGGGGGUGGAAUUCCACGUGUAGCAGUGAAAUGCGUAGAGAUGUGGAGGAACACCGAUGGCGAAGGCAGCCCCCUGGGCUGAGACUGACGCUCAGGCACGAAAGCGUGGGGAGCAAACAGG
This 253-nucleotide ribosomal RNA is filed under the name uncultured bacterium. Its description in RNAcentral is "partial 16S ribosomal RNA". It matches the Rfam family "Bacterial small subunit ribosomal RNA", at positions 524 to 776 of the family's 1533-position model. The record is from RNAcentral. RNAcentral also lists the same sequence under 1 other name.